Molecule: ribosomal RNA, 468 nt
Filed under: uncultured bacterium
Lineage: Bacteria
Description: partial 16S ribosomal RNA
Rfam family: Bacterial small subunit ribosomal RNA
Source: RNAcentral
GACGAACGCUGGCGGCGUGCUUAACACAUGCAAGUCGAACGGAAAGGCCCUGCUUUUGUGGGGUGCUCGAGUGGCGAACGGGUGAGUAACACGUGAGUAACCUGCCCUUGACUUUGGGAUAACUUCAGGAAACUGGGGCUAAUACCGGAUAGGAGCUCCUGCUGCAUGGGGGGGGUUGGAAAGUUUCGGCGGUUGGGGAUGGACUCGCGGCUUAUCAGCUUGUUGGGGGGGUAGUGGCUUACCAAGGCUUUGACGGGUAGCCGGCCUGGGAGGGUGACCGGCCACAUUGGGACUGAGAUACGGCCCAAACUCCUACGGGAGGCAGCAGUGGGGAAUAUUGCACAAUGGGCGGAAGCCUGAUGCAGCAACGCCGCGUGCGGGAUGACGGCCUUCGGGUUGUAAACCGCUUUCGCCUGUGACGAAGCGUGAGUGACGGUAAUGGGUAAAGAAGCACCGGCUAACUACGUG